RNAcentral lists this ribosomal RNA (59 nucleotides) under Ascomycota sp. MUT 4926. RNAcentral describes it as "partial 28S ribosomal RNA". It matches the Rfam family "Eukaryotic large subunit ribosomal RNA", at positions 1 to 58 of the family's 3401-position model. Lineage: Eukaryota; Fungi; Ascomycota. The record is from RNAcentral.
UCGACCUCGGAUCAGGUAAGACUACCCGCUGAACUUAAGCAUAUCAAUAAGCGGAGGAA